This 253-nucleotide ribosomal RNA is filed under the name uncultured bacterium. RNAcentral's name for it is "partial 16S ribosomal RNA". It matches the Rfam family "Bacterial small subunit ribosomal RNA", at positions 524 to 776 of the family's 1533-position model. The record is from RNAcentral.
UACGUAGGGGGCUAGUGUUGUCCGGAAUCAUUGGGCGUAAAGCGCGCGUAGGCGGCCCGGUAAGUCCGUUGUGAAAGUCAAAGGCUCAACCUUUGAAUGCCGAUGGAUACUGCCGGGCUCGAGUCCGGAAGAGGCGAGUGGAAUUCCUGGUGUAGCGGUGGAAUGCGCAGAUAUCAGGAGGAACACCGAUAGCGAAGGCAGCUCGCUGGGACGGUACUGACGCUAAGGCGCGAAAGCGUGGGGAGCGAACAGG